UACGUAGGGACCGAGCGUUGUCCGGAAUCAUUGGGCGUAAAGAGCGUGUAGGCGGCCACUUAAGUCCUGCGUGAAAUCUUGCGGCUCAACCGCAAGCGGUCGUGGGAAACUGGGUGGCUAGAGUGCGGGAGAGGAGAGUGGAAUUCCUGGUGUAGCGGUGGAAUGCGCAGAUAUCAGGAAGAACACCCGUGGCGAAGGCGGCUCUCUGGAACGCAACUGACGCUAAGACGCGAAAGCGUGGGGAGCAAACAGG
RNAcentral lists this ribosomal RNA (253 nucleotides) under uncultured bacterium. RNAcentral's name for it is "partial 16S ribosomal RNA". It matches the Rfam family "Bacterial small subunit ribosomal RNA", at positions 524 to 776 of the family's 1533-position model. The record is from RNAcentral.